UAUGUAAAUAAAUUUUACAUUCCAACCAUGUUGGUGCCAUGUACCAUCCCAAUAUGUGCAGCGUGGACUGAUGACUUGAUGAAGAAAAGGGUGCGUGCAGAAUUGCGUGAUUAUGGUGAUUUUGAACUAGUUGAUGUUCAAGAAGAUGAAAGGGGGAAAGAUGCACAUGAAGACCCUGGUAAUCCAGUAAAUGAAGUUGAAGAAGAGACUACUGAUGAAAUUAUAGCAUAAUAUAAUGCAGCGGAGAGACAAAUUCACCAAUUGCUUCGAACAAUGAGAGGAGCAAUUGAUAAACUAGCAACGCGGCAGAAUACAAAUAAAACCUCAUCAUCUUCUCAUCAAAACAGAAGUCAUAAUCAACCUGAUAUCAAUGAUUCUUUCC
Long non-coding RNA from Vitis riparia (riverbank grape), 382 nucleotides. RefSeq lists it as uncharacterized. NCBI's taxonomy places the organism in Eukaryota, Viridiplantae, Streptophyta, Magnoliopsida, Vitales, Vitaceae. The record is from RefSeq and is a predicted model, not a curated record. The transcript is spliced from 3 exons.